Molecule: ribosomal RNA, 292 nt
Filed under: uncultured bacterium
Lineage: Bacteria
Description: partial 16S ribosomal RNA
Rfam family: Bacterial small subunit ribosomal RNA
Source: RNAcentral
GUGCCAGCAGCCGCGGUAAUACGGAGGGUGCUAGCGUUGUUCGGAAUCACUGGGCGUAAAGCGCGUGUAGGCGGUCCGUUAAGUCUGAUGUGAAAGCCCGGGGCUCACCCCCGGAAGUGCAUUGGAAACUGACGAACUCGAGUCCCGGAGAGGAGGGUGGAAUUCCUGGUGUAGCGGUGAAAUGCGUAGAUAUCAGGAGGAACACCGGUGGCGAAGGCGGCCCUCUGGACGGUGACUGACGCUGAGACGCGAAAGCGUGGGGAGCAAACAGGAUUAGAUACCCCCGUAGUCC